UACAAGAUGGCAUCAUGGGUCCGCAUGUUCACAUGAUUAAAGGUAUUCCGGUAGACGAUGGGGAUGCGUUCCAUUAGAUAGUAGGCGGGGUAACGGCCCACCUAGUCUUCGAUGGAUAGGGGUUCUGAGAGGAAGGUCCCCCACAUUGGAACUGAGACACGGUCCAAACUCCUACGGGAGGCAGCAGUGAGGAAUAUUGGUCAAUGGGCGAGAGCCUGAACCAGCCAAGUAGCGUGAAGGAUGACUGCCCUAUGGGUUGUAAACUUCUUUUAUAAAGGAAUAAAGUCGGGUAUGCAUACCCGUUUGCAUGUACUUUAUGAAUAAGGAUCGGCUAACUCCGUGCCAGCAGCCGCGGUAAUACGGAGGAUCCGAGCGUUAUCCGGAUUUAUUGGGUUUAAAGGGAGCGUAGAUGGAUGUUUAAGUCAGUUGUGAAAGUUUGCGGCUCAACCGUAAAAUUGCAGUUGAUACUGGAUAUCUUGAGUGCAGUGAGGCCAGGCGGAAUUCGUGGUGUAGCGGUGAAAUGCUUAGAUAUCACGAAGAACUCCGAUUGCGA
RNAcentral lists this ribosomal RNA (553 nucleotides) under uncultured Bacteroidales bacterium. RNAcentral's name for it is "bacterial SSU rRNA". It matches the Rfam family "Bacterial small subunit ribosomal RNA", at positions 167 to 718 of the family's 1533-position model. The record is from RNAcentral. Lineage: Bacteria; Pseudomonadati; Bacteroidota; Bacteroidia; Bacteroidales.